RNAcentral lists this ribosomal RNA (253 nucleotides) under uncultured bacterium. RNAcentral's name for it is "partial 16S ribosomal RNA". It matches the Rfam family "Bacterial small subunit ribosomal RNA", at positions 524 to 776 of the family's 1533-position model. The record is from RNAcentral.
GACGAACCGAGCGAACGUUAUUCGGAAUCACUGGGCUUAAAGGGCGCGUAGGCGGGCGGUCAAGUCAGGGGUGAAAGCCCCCGGCUCAACUGGGGUGGGUCACUCGAUACUGAUCGACUUGAAGGCAGGAGAGGGAAGCGGAAUUCCCGGUGUAGUGGUGAAAUGCGUAGAUAUCGGGAGGAACACCAGUGGCGAAGGCGGCUUCCUGGCCUGUUCUUGACGCUGAGGCGCGAAAGCUAGGGGAGCAAACGGG